RNAcentral lists this ribosomal RNA (559 nucleotides) under uncultured archaeon. RNAcentral describes it as "bacterial SSU rRNA". It matches the Rfam family "Archaeal small subunit ribosomal RNA", at positions 333 to 896 of the family's 1478-position model. The record is from RNAcentral.
CACCAGGCGCGAAAACUUUACAAUGCUGGAAACAGCGAUAAGGGGACCCCGAGUGCCAGGUUACAAAUCUGGCUGUCGUGAUGCCUAAAAAGCAUUGCAUAGCAAGGGCCGGGCAAGACCGGUGCCAGCCGCCGCGGUAACACCGGCGGCUCGAGUGGUAGCCGUUAUUAUUGGGUCUAAAGGGUCUGUAGCCGGCCGGAUAAGUCUCUUGGGAAAUCCAGCAGCUCAACUGUUGGGCUUUCAGGAGAUACUGUCUGGCUCGAGGCCGGGAGAGGUGAGAGGUACUUCAGGGGUAGGGGUGAAAUCUUGUAAUCCUUGAAGGACCACCAGUGGCGAAGGCGUCUCACCAGAACGGACCUGACGGCAAGGGACGAAAGCUAGGGGCACGAACCGGAUUAGAUACCCGGGUAGUCCUAGCCGUAAACGAUACUCGCUAGGUGUCGGCCACGGUGCGACCGUUGUCGGUGCCGUAGGGAAGCCGUGAAGCGAGCCACCUGGGAAGUACGGCCGCAAGGCUGAAACUUAAAGGAAUUGGCGGGGGAGCACAAGGGCGAAUCGC